GACGAACGCUGGCGGCGUGCCUAAUACAUGCAAGUCGAGCGUAACUGGGGGAGCUUGCUCCUUCCAGUUUAGCGGCGGACGGGUGAGUAACACGUGGGCAACCUGCCCUGCAGAUCGGGAUAACUCCGGGAAACCGGUGCUAAUACCGAAUAGUUUGGCGCCUCUCCUGAGGCGCUACGGAAAGACGGUUUCGGCUGUCACUGGAGGAUGGGCCCGCGGCGCAUUAGCUAGUUGGUGGGGUAACGGCCCACCAAGGCGACGAUGCGUAGCCGACCUGAGAGGGUGACCGGCCACACUGGGACUGAGACACGGCCCAGACUCCUACGGGAGGCAGCAGUAGGGAAUCUUCCGCAAUGGACGCAAGUCUGACGGAGCAACGCCGCGUGAGUGACGAAGGUUUUCGGAUCGUAAAACUCUGUUGUGAGGGAAGAACACGUACCAACUAACUAUUGGUACCUUGACGGUACCUCACCAGAAAGCCACGGCUAACUACGUGCCAGCCGCCGCAGUAA
RNAcentral lists this ribosomal RNA (512 nucleotides) under uncultured bacterium. RNAcentral's name for it is "partial 16S ribosomal RNA". It matches the Rfam family "Bacterial small subunit ribosomal RNA", at positions 28 to 523 of the family's 1533-position model. The record is from RNAcentral.